Molecule: ribosomal RNA, 428 nt
Filed under: uncultured bacterium
Lineage: Bacteria
Description: bacterial SSU rRNA
Rfam family: Bacterial small subunit ribosomal RNA
Source: RNAcentral
UUGAACGCUGGCGGUAGGCUUAACACAUGCAAGUCGAACGAAGUAGCAAUACUUAGUGGCAGACGGGUGAGUAACAUGUAGGUAUCUACCCUUUGGUGAGGAAUAACACGAGGAAACUUGUGCUAAUACCUCAUAAGUCUUUACGGAGAAAGCUUUAUGCGCCGAAGGAUGAGCCUGCACUUGAUUAGUUUGUUGGUGGGGUAAUGGCCUACCAAGACUUUGAUCUAUAGCUGAUCUGAGAGGAUGAUCAGCCACAUUGGGACUGAGACACGGCCCAAACUCCUACGGGAGGCAGCAGUAGGGAAUAUUGCACAAUGGAGGAAACUCUGAUGCAGCGAUGCCGCGUGAGUGAAGAAGGCCUUUGGGUUGUAAAGCUCUUUCGUCGGGGAAGAAAAUGACUGUACCCGAAUAAGAAGGUCCGGCUAACU